ACGAACGCUGGCGGCGUGCUUAACACAUGCAAGUCGAACGAUGAAGCCCAGCUUGCUGGGUGGAUUAGUGGCGAACGGGUGAGUAACACGUGAGUAACCUGCCCUUGACUCUGGGAUAAGCACUGGAAACGGUGUCUAAUACCGGAUAUUUCAACUGACCGCAUGGUCUGGUUGUGGAAAGAAUUUUGGUCAAGGAUGGACUCGCGGCCUAUCAGGUAGUUGGUGAGGUAAUGGCUCACCAAGCCUACGACGGGUAGCCGGCCUGAGAGGGUGACCGGCCACACUGGGACUGAGACACGGCCCAGACUCCUACGGGAGGCAGCAGUGGGGAAUAUUGCACAAUGGGCGAAAGCCUGAUGCAGCAACGCCGCGUGAGGGACGACGGCCUUCGGGUUGUAAACCUCUUUUAGUAGGGAAGAAGCGAAAGUGACGGUACCUGCAGAAAAAGCACCGGCUAACUACGU
Molecule: ribosomal RNA, 464 nt
Filed under: uncultured bacterium
Lineage: Bacteria
Description: bacterial SSU rRNA
Rfam family: Bacterial small subunit ribosomal RNA
Source: RNAcentral